Molecule: ribosomal RNA, 281 nt
Filed under: uncultured bacterium
Lineage: Bacteria
Description: partial 16S ribosomal RNA
Rfam family: Bacterial small subunit ribosomal RNA
Source: RNAcentral
GUGCCAGCAGCCGCGGUAAUGCGUAGGGGGCGAGCGUUGUCCGGAUUUAUUGGGCGUGAAGAGCUCGUAGGCGGUUCAACAAGUCGGUCGUGAAAGUUCAGGGCUCAACCCUGAAAUGUCGAUCGAUACUGUUGUGACUAGGAUACGGUAGAGGUGAGUGGAAUUCCGAGUGUAGCGGUGAAAUGCGUAGAUAUUCGGAGGAACACCAAUUGCGAAGGCAGUUCACUGGACCGUGAUCGACGCUGAGGCACGAAAGCAUAGGUAGCAAACAGGAUUAGAUA